This 1310-nucleotide ribosomal RNA is filed under the name Pseudomonas sp. Its description in RNAcentral is "bacterial SSU rRNA". It matches the Rfam family "Bacterial small subunit ribosomal RNA", at positions 132 to 1437 of the family's 1533-position model. The record is from RNAcentral. Lineage: Bacteria; Pseudomonadati; Pseudomonadota; Gammaproteobacteria; Pseudomonadales; Pseudomonadaceae.
GGUAGUGGGGGAUAACGUUCCGAAAGGAACGCUAAUACCGCAUACGUCCUACGGGAGAAAGCAGGGGACCUUCGGGCCUUGCGCUAUCAGAUGAGCCUAGGUCGGAUUAGCUAGUUGGUGAGGUAAUGGCUCACCAAGGCGACGAUCCGUAACUGGUCUGAGAGGAUGAUCAGUCACACUGGAACUGAGACACGGUCCAGACUCCUACGGGAGGCAGCAGUGGGGAAUAUUGGACAAUGGGCGAAAGCCUGAUCCAGCCAUGCCGCGUGUGUGAAGAAGGUCUUCGGAUUGUAAAGCACUUUAAGUUGGGAGGAAGGGUUGUAGAUUAAUACUCUGCAAUUUUGACGUUACCAACAGAAUAAGCACCGGCUAACUUCGUGCCAGCAGCCGCGGUAAUACGAAGGGUGCAAGCGUUAAUCGGAAUUACUGGGCGUAAAGCGCGCGUAGGUGGUUCGUUAAGUUGGAUGUGAAAGCCCCGGGCUCAACCUGGGAACUGCAUCCAAAACUGGCGAGCUAGAGUACGGUAGAGGGUAGUGGAAUUUCCUGUGUAGCGGUGAAAUGCGUAGAUAUAGGAAGGAACACCAGUGGCGAAGGCGACUACCUGGACUGAUACUGACACUGAGGUGCGAAAGCGUGGGGAGCAAACAGGAUUAGAUACCCUGGUAGUCCACGCCGUAAACGAUGUCAACUAGCCGUUGGAAUCCUUGAGAUUUUAGUGGCGCAGCUAACGCAUUAAGUUGACCGCCUGGGGAGUACGGCCGCAAGGUUAAAACUCAAAUGAAUUGACGGGGGCCCGCACCAGCGGUGGAGCAUGUGGUUUAAUUUGAAGCAACGCGAAGAACCUUACCUGGCCUUGACAUGCUGAGAACUUUCCAGAGAUGGAUUGGUGCCUUUGGGAGCUCAGACACAGGUGCUGCAUGGCUGUUGUCAGCUCGUGUCGUGAGAUGUUGGGUUAAGUCCCGUAACGAGCGCAACCCUUGUCCUUAGUUACCAGCACGUUAUGGUGGGCACUCUAAGGAGACUGCCGGUGACAAACCGGAGGAAGGUGGGGAUGACGUCAAGUCAUCAUGGCCCUUACGGCCAGGGCUACACACGUGCUACAAUGGUCGGUACAAAGGGUUGCCAAGCCGCGAGGUGGAGCUAAUCCCAUAAAACCGAUCGUAGUCCGGAUCGCAGUCUGCAACUCGACUGCGUGAAGUCGGAAUCGCUAGUAAUCGUGAAUCAGAAUGUCACGGUGAAUACGUUCCCGGGCCUUGUACACACCGCCCGUCACACCAUGGGAGUGGGUUGCUCCAGAAGUAGCUAGUCUA